UACGGAGGAUCCAAGCGUUAUCCGGAAUUACUGGGCGUAAAGAGUUGCGUAGGUGGCAUAGUAAGUAGAUAGUGAAAGCGUGUGGCUCAACCAUAUACACAUUAUCUAAACUGCUAGGCUAGAGUAUAUGAGAGGUAGCUGGAAUUUCUAGUGUAGGAGUGAAAUCCGUAGAUAUUAGAAGGAACACCGAUGGCGUAGGCAGGCUACUGGCAUAUUACUGACACUAAGGCACGAAAGCGUGGGGAGCGAACAGG
Molecule: ribosomal RNA, 254 nt
Filed under: uncultured bacterium
Lineage: Bacteria
Description: partial 16S ribosomal RNA
Rfam family: Bacterial small subunit ribosomal RNA
Source: RNAcentral